RNAcentral lists this ribosomal RNA (292 nucleotides) under uncultured Acidobacteriota bacterium. RNAcentral's name for it is "uncultured Acidobacteria bacterium partial 16S ribosomal RNA". The record is from RNAcentral. Lineage: Bacteria; Pseudomonadati; Acidobacteriota.
GGACUACUAGGGUUUCUAAUCCUGUUUGCUACCCACGCUUUCGUGUCUCAGCGUCAGUCGUGGUCCAGUAAGCUGUCUACACCACAGGUGUUCCUCCUGAUAUCUACGCAUUUCACCGCUACACCAGGAAUUCCGCUUACCUCUCCCAUCCUCUAGCACCCCAGUUCCCACCGCACCCUCCCAGUUAAGCCGGGAGAUUUCACGACAGACUUAGAGCACCGCCUACACACUCUUUACGCCCAGUAAUUCCGAACAACGCUCGCUGCCUACGUAUUACCGCGGCGGCUGGCAC